GUCCACGCCGUAAACGAUGGGCACUAGGUGUGGGAGGUGUCGACUCCUCCCGUGCCGGCGCUAACGCAUUAAGUGCCCCGCCUGGGGAGUACGGCCGCAAGGCUAAAACUCAAAGGAAUUGACGGGGGCCCGCACAAGCAGCGGAGCAUGUGGUUUAAUUCGAUGCAACGCGAAGAACCUUACCUGGGCUUGACAUGUAACUGACAGUCGUGGAAACACGAUCUUCCUUCUGGACAGUUACACAGGUGGUGCAUGGCUGUCGU
RNAcentral lists this ribosomal RNA (263 nucleotides) under uncultured bacterium. RNAcentral's name for it is "partial 16S ribosomal RNA". It matches the Rfam family "Bacterial small subunit ribosomal RNA", at positions 793 to 1055 of the family's 1533-position model. The record is from RNAcentral.